AUUGAACGCUGGCGGCAUGCCUUACACAUGCAAGUCGAACGGCAGCGCGGACUUCGGUCUGGCGGCGAGUGGCGAACGGGUGAGUAAUACAUCGGAACGUACCCUGUUGUGGGGGAUAACUAGUCGAAAGAUUAGCUAAUACCGCAUACGACCUGAGGGUGAAAGUGGGGGACCGCAAGGCCUCACGCAGCAGGAGCGGCCGAUGUCUGAUUAGCUAGUUGGUGGGGUAAAGGCCCACCAAGGCGACGAUCAGUAGCUGGUCUGAGAGGACGAUCAGCCACACUGGGACUGAGACAUAGCCCAGACGCCUACGGGAGGCAGCAGUGGGGAAUUUUGGACAAUGGGGGCAACCCUGAUCCAGCAAUGCCGCGUGUGUGAAGAAGGCCUUCGGGUUGUAAAGCACUCUUGUCCGGAAAGAAAUCGCGCUGGUUAAUACCUGGCGUGGAUGACGGUACCGGAAGAAUAAGCACCGGCUAACUACGUGCCAGCAGCCGCAGUAA
Molecule: ribosomal RNA, 500 nt
Filed under: uncultured bacterium
Lineage: Bacteria
Description: partial 16S ribosomal RNA
Rfam family: Bacterial small subunit ribosomal RNA
Source: RNAcentral